UGACGGAAGUUUGAUUACUUAAAUUUGAUCAUGGUUAACAAGUUGGAUUAAAAUGAUGUUAUCUAUUUUUGAUUCAUAUUGUGGGCAAUAAGUAUUUACCCCGGCAAUUAAUCGCUUGUAUAAAGUUUGUUCCAGAAUAAUCGGCUAGGCCAACUAAGCUUGUACUCUAUGUUUGGUUGAAUUAAACCGAUAUAUAACGAUUUUUUAUUUUCUAGGGUAAAAUCAGGAAGACUAAAGUGUUUUAUGUUUAAUUUGUAAGAUUCAGAAAACGAACCAGAUUAGUACCUGGUUAGACGAAAUUAAAGAAAGCAGAAGUAAAGUAGUGUUUAAACUGUAAGGAUAUUGGCAGGCUCUCUAAAUUAUCUUUGGAGGUUGAGUAGUAAUUGAGAACCCACAUUUUCAACUUUUAUUUUGGGCGCAUGUAUGAUCGUUUAUUUUAUUCUUAACGAUUGUAAACAAAAGUUUUUAUUUAAAAAAACAGAUAAAUACCUGGUUUAUAUAAGAGUAUAAAUUUGACCUACAAUAGCCUAGACUUUUGGAUUCGGCGCUGAGAGGUGCUGAUGAAAUUGUAAAAGACAGUAAACUUAUUCUUUAUGGAUAGUUGAAGUUUAUUUAAGAGCGGUACAAAUCAUCCAUCAAUUGCCCACAGGGGAGUAAGUUGUAGUAAAGUAGAUUUAGGGGAACCUGAAUCUA
This 693-nucleotide non-coding RNA is filed under the name Steinernema litorale. Lineage: Eukaryota; Metazoa; Nematoda; Chromadorea; Rhabditida; Steinernematidae. The record is from RNAcentral.